CCGGCCUCUGGUGGCACUGUCGAUCCGGGCAUCAUUUCCUCUCCUAUGGUUAAGUUGAUUGAAACUUUUGCUGUUUUUUGCAAGUCUCAGAGAGCUGCUUAUAGGGAGAAGGUGUUAAUUGAAGCAGAGAAACAAUUUCUGCAUGAUUUCACUUUUUUCAAGGAAAAGUUAUUAGUUGAUUUUGGCCAAAUAGUGGAUGUCGAAUGCAUUGAUAGUACUUGCCAAGUUCUGUGUGACAAGGUCAGGGAUUGUUGUUCAAUUUGCAAGUCAAGGUGUACUGAAGCUAUCAUCGAUUCUCUAAAAAAUUUGGCUGAAGCAAUGACUAUUAAGCAUCAGAAGUUUUUGAAUUCCAACAACCUUCUCGCGAAAGAUAUGGAUAUUAAGUCAGAUGAGAAAGCUACCAAAAUUGAUACCAAUGUGCAGCCAGUUGAUGUUAAGUCGAAUGAGAAAGGGGCUGGUGCGGGCAUUGUUGA
Molecule: long non-coding RNA, 473 nt
Organism: Zea mays
Lineage: Eukaryota; Viridiplantae; Streptophyta; Magnoliopsida; Poales; Poaceae
Exons: 3
Source: RefSeq, a predicted model, not a curated record